CCUACGGGGGGCAGCAGUGAGGAAUAUUGGUCAAUGGGCUUACGCCUGAACCAGCCAAGUCGCGUGAGGGAAGACUGCCCUAUGGGUUGUAAACCUCUUUUGUCAGGGAGCAAUUGGCGCUACGUGUAGCGUUAUCGGAAGUACCUGAAGAAAAAGCAUCGGCUAACUCCGUGCCAGCAGCCGCGGGAAUACGGAGGAUGCGAGCGUGAUCCGGAUUUAUUGGGUUAAAGGGGUGCGUAGGCGGAAUGCCAAGUCAGCGGUAAAAUCGCGGGGCUCAACCUCGCUCCGCCGUUGAAACUGGGGUUCUUGAGUGCGGGAGAGGGAUGCGGAAUGCGUGGUGUAGCAGUGAAAUGCGUAGAUAUCACGAAGAACACCGAUGGCGAAGGCAGCAUACCGGGGCCCCACUGACGCUGAAGCACGAAAGCGUGGGGAGCGAACAGGAUUAGAUACCCGUGUAGUC
This 460-nucleotide ribosomal RNA is filed under the name uncultured bacterium. RNAcentral's name for it is "partial 16S ribosomal RNA". It matches the Rfam family "Bacterial small subunit ribosomal RNA", at positions 338 to 795 of the family's 1533-position model. The record is from RNAcentral.